GCGGAAGGAUCAUUAAAUAAUUUAGAUGGCCUCCUAGAACUUGUUCUAGUUAGGUUCAUUCUUUUUUACUGUGAACUGUUUUAAUUUUCAGCGUUUGAGGAAUGUCUUUUAGUCAUAGGGAUAGACUAUUAGAAUGUUAACCGAGCUGAAGUCAGGUUUAGACCUGGUAUCCUAUUAAUUAUUUACCAAAAGAAUUCAGUAUUAUUAUUGUAACAUAAGCGUAAAAAACUUAUAAAACAACUUUUAACAACGGAUCUCUUGGUUCUCGCAUCGAUGAAGAACGUAGCAAAGUGCGAUAACUAGUGUGAAUUGCAUAUUCAGUGAAUCAUCGAGUCUUUGAACGCAACUUGCGCUCAAUGGUAUUCCAUUGAGCACGCCUGUUUCAGUAUCAAAAACACCCCACAUUCAUAAUUUUGUUGUGAAUGGAACUGAGAAUUUCGACUUGUUUGAAUUCUUUAAACUUAUUAGGCCUGAACUAUUGUUCUUUCUGCCUGAACAUUUUUUUAAUAUAAAGGAAUGCUCUAGUAUUAAGACUAUCUCUGGGGCCUCCCAAAUAAAACUUUCUUAAAUUUGAUCUGAA
Molecule: ribosomal RNA, 580 nt
Filed under: Mucor hiemalis
Lineage: Eukaryota; Fungi; Mucoromycota; Mucoromycetes; Mucorales; Mucoraceae
Description: eukaryotic LSU rRNA
Rfam family: 5.8S ribosomal RNA (bases 239-391)
Source: RNAcentral